GUAGUUAUAAUUUAAAUAAAAUAUAAGGUUGUGAUCCUUAUAAUAAAGGUUAAAACCCUUUUAACUACA
This 69-nucleotide transfer RNA is filed under the name Nothobranchius foerschi. Its description in RNAcentral is "tRNA-His". It matches the Rfam family "tRNA". Rfam says of the family: Transfer RNA (tRNA) molecules are approximately 80 nucleotides in length. Their secondary structure includes four short double-helical elements and three loops (D, anti-codon, and T loops). Lineage: Eukaryota; Metazoa; Chordata; Actinopteri; Cyprinodontiformes; Nothobranchiidae. The record is from RNAcentral.